Molecule: long non-coding RNA, 1053 nt
Organism: Passer domesticus (house sparrow)
Lineage: Eukaryota; Metazoa; Chordata; Aves; Passeriformes; Passeridae
Exons: 2
Source: RefSeq, a predicted model, not a curated record
UAAAUCUGUCACAGAGCAUGUUCGUGGUAUAAUGCAUAAGCAAACAAUAUUGCUUAGUUGUUUUGCUUAUGCACAAAAGCAACAAUCAGACAUGAAUUUCCUAAGCAUAAUGGGUACAGUGAGUGGAUUGCAAUUCCUCUCUUAAGAUUUUUGUUGUAAGACACACUCACACACUUCACACUCACAUGAACCCACCACUACCCCACAGACCAGCACAGCCCAGUCCAGCAUGACAGGCACAGGACACUCAAGCCAACAACUGGACAAGUGACCUCCAUACACUACAGGUAAAAUGCAGACUUUGCCUUAGCACAGUGUUGGCCACCUGUUGGCAUGGGUCCCUGACUGGGGAACUGCUGGUUUUGCUGUUUUGUUGCAUGUCAGGUAUCCAGCAUGCACUGAGGACAUGGCUCAGGGUCAGUCUCUAUGACUCCUCAUCUGAGGCCAGUUGGCAACUGUCACCAGGGUUUUUGUCAUCUGCUGUUCCGCUGUUCCAGAUGUCUUACACAACUGUGAAGCUUGCAUUGGUUAUGUGACAACCUUUUUUCUGUUGCUUCUUUGUUUUUCAGCUCAUAUUUCAAUGAUCUAAUCAGUUAUAAACGGGCAAAUUUUGUCAAUGUCUCCUCUGCAUGAGCCUCCAGCUGGCAGCCCAGAACAUUGAAUAUAAUGGCUUGCUUCAGGCAGUACAGUAGACAUGGAAGUAAAAGCUUUACUCAGUGGUAUCCUCUCCUGGAAUGCAACUGUGGCUGGUGAUCAAGGACAAGUAGCAAGCCAGGUAUCUUCACUCUAACAGCUUCAGCCACAGGAUUGAGGCCAGUUGCAGAAAAACUGGAAAUAGAGGUCUUCUCCAACUAAUUUCCUUCAGAGUAUGUGAUAAGGCAGGAUGUUGUACCAGUUCAGAAGCUCUAGCAAAACUCCUGCAGGGGAAGUGGAAACAAGAGGAACCAAAGUGGCAAGAGUGGCUGAAUGAGGCGUACCAAAAGGUUCAACUUAGAAUUAGAGAUGAUGCAAUAUAAGUCAAAGCAAAACUAAAGAAAAGCAGAAUGAUAAACA